GGUGACCGCUUAUGUGUCGCCCUUGAUGCAGAGCUAAGGGAGAUGCAGGAGAGGAUGGCUAGCCGCCAGCGAUAUGAGGCGUCCGGACGGGCCUACGUGCUGUCGGGGCUGAGCUCGCACUCAUGGCAGAGGGCGACCGCCCGUGGUGACUCGACAGAUAGCACGAGCCUCGUCCACGCUUACCAGACACCGUCCAUGGUCGACAUGCUACAACGGUCGCAAACGAUGAAUCUCUCGCCACGUCGACCUCAUCCACCGAUCAGGCCGGCGAGGUCGUUUCCAGCGAAGCCUCAGCCAAGGUAAUUUCUCUUUUGUUUGAGAGAAAGCGAAA
RNAcentral lists this unclassified non-coding RNA (331 nucleotides) under Hevea brasiliensis (rubber tree). Lineage: Eukaryota; Viridiplantae; Streptophyta; Magnoliopsida; Malpighiales; Euphorbiaceae. The record is from RNAcentral.